UACGAAGGGGGCUAGCGUUGCUCGGAAUCACUGGGCGUAAAGCGCACGUAGGCGGGUCUUUAAGUCAGGGGUGAAAUCCUGGAGCUCAACUCCAGAACUGCCUUUGAUACUGAGGAUCUCGAGUCCGGGAGAGGUGAGUGGAACUCCGAGUGUAGAGGUGAAAUUCGUAGAUAUUGGGAAGAACACCGGUGGCGAAGGCGGCUAUCUGGACCGUAACUGACGCUGAGGCGCGAAAGCGUGGGGAGCAAACAGG
Molecule: ribosomal RNA, 253 nt
Filed under: uncultured bacterium
Lineage: Bacteria
Description: partial 16S ribosomal RNA
Rfam family: Bacterial small subunit ribosomal RNA
Source: RNAcentral